ACUAAAGAUUUCCGUGGAGAGGAAC
RNAcentral lists this non-coding RNA (25 nucleotides) under Drosophila melanogaster (fruit fly). RNAcentral also lists the same sequence under 4 other names. The record is from RNAcentral. Lineage: Eukaryota; Metazoa; Arthropoda; Insecta; Diptera; Drosophilidae.